Molecule: ribosomal RNA, 503 nt
Filed under: uncultured bacterium
Lineage: Bacteria
Description: bacterial SSU rRNA
Rfam family: Bacterial small subunit ribosomal RNA
Source: RNAcentral
GAUGAACGCUAGCUACAGGCUUAACACAUGCAAGUCGAGGGGCAGCAUGGGAGUUGCUUGCAAUUCCUGAUGGCGACCGGCGCACGGGUGAGUAACGCGUAUCCAACCUUCCCCUCAGUAGGGCAUAGCCCGUAGAAAUGCGGAUUAAUACCCUAUGCGGUCCGAUGAGGACAUCUGAGCUGGACGAAAGGUUUACCGCUGAGGGAUGGGGAUGCGUCUGAUUAGGUAGUCGGCGGGGUAACGGCCCACCGAGCCAUCGAUCAGUAGGGGUUCUGAGAGGAAGGUCCCCCACACUGGUACUGAGACACGGACCAGACUCCUACGGGAGGCAGCAGUGAGGAAUAUUGGUCAAUGGGCGAGAGCCUGAACCAGCCAAGUAGCGUGCAGGAUGACGGCCCUACGGGUUGUAAACUGCUUUUAUGCGGGGAUAAAGUGAGGGACUUGUCCCUUUUUGCAGGUACCGCAUGAAUAAGGACCGGCUAAUUCCGUGCCAGCCGCCGCCG